CGUAGGUGAACCUGCGGAAGGAUCAUUAUUGAAUACGAUUGGUACUGAUGCUGGCUCUUCACAGAGCAUGUGCUCGUCCAUCUAUUUAUCUUCUCUUGUGCACAUCUUGUAGUCUUGAAUGAAACCUCUCGCAGUCAAUGCGGUUUGGGAGUUUGUUAACCCUUCUCCUGCUUCUUCAAGGCUAUGUUUUCAUAUACACUAUAAAGUUACAGAAUGUCUUUUAAAGGCUUGCGCUUGUCGCAGUCAUUAAACCUAUACAACUUUCAGCAACGGAUCUCUUGGCUCUCCUAUCGAUGAAGAACGCAGCGAAAUGCGAUAAGUAAUGUGAAUUGCAGAAUUCAGUGAAUCAUCGAAUCUUUGAACGCACCUUGCGCCCUUUGGUAUUCCGAAGGGCAUGCCUGUUUGAGUGUCAUUAAAUUAUCAACCUUGCUCGCUUUUACCGGCUUGAGUUAGGCUUGGAUGUGAGGGCUUUGCUGGCUUCCUUCAGUGGAUGGUCUGCUCCCUUUAAAUGCAUUAGUGGGAUCUCUUGUGGACCGUCACUUGGUUGUGAUAAUUAUCUACGCCAUUUGACUUUGAAGCAAACUUAUGGGAACCUGCUUAUAACCGUCCUUUCGAGGACAAUCUUUGACAUUUUGACCUCAAAUCAGGUAGGACUACCCGCUGAACUUAAGCAUAUCAAUAAGCGGAGGAAAAGAAACUAACAAGGAUUCCCCUAGUAACUGCGAGUGAAGCGGGAAAAGCUCAAAUUUAAAAUCUGGCGGUCCCUGUGGCCGUCCGAG
Molecule: ribosomal RNA, 779 nt
Filed under: Mycena purpureofusca
Lineage: Eukaryota; Fungi; Basidiomycota; Agaricomycetes; Agaricales; Mycenaceae
Description: eukaryotic LSU rRNA
Rfam family: 5.8S ribosomal RNA (bases 259-412)
Source: RNAcentral